This 465-nucleotide ribosomal RNA is filed under the name Veillonella dispar. RNAcentral describes it as "bacterial SSU rRNA". It matches the Rfam family "Bacterial small subunit ribosomal RNA", at positions 28 to 469 of the family's 1533-position model. Lineage: Bacteria; Bacillati; Bacillota; Negativicutes; Veillonellales; Veillonellaceae. The record is from RNAcentral.
GACGAACGCUGGCGGCGUGCUUAACACAUGCAAGUCGAACGAAGAGCGAUGGAAGCUUGCUUCUAUCAAUCUUAGUGGCGAACGGGUGAGUAACGCGUAAUCAACCUGCCCUUCAGAGGGGGACAACAGUUGGAAACGACUGCUAAUACCGCAUACGAUCUAAUCUCGGCAUCGAGGAAAGAUGAAAGGUGGCCUCUAUUUAUAAGCUAUCACUGAAGGAGGGGAUUGCGUCUGAUUAGCUAGUUGGAGGGGUAACGGCCCACCAAGGCGAUGAUCAGUAGCCGGUCUGAGAGGAUGAACGGCCACAUUGGGACUGAGACACGGCCCAGACUCCUACGGGAGGCAGCAGUGGGGAAUCUUCCGCAAUGGACGAAAGUCUGACGGAGCAACGCCGCGUGAGUGAUGACGGCCUUCGGGUUGUAAAGCUCUGUUAAUCGGGACGAAAGGCCUUCUUGCGAACAGUUA